RNAcentral lists this ribosomal RNA (651 nucleotides) under uncultured bacterium. RNAcentral describes it as "bacterial SSU rRNA". It matches the Rfam family "Bacterial small subunit ribosomal RNA", at positions 229 to 888 of the family's 1533-position model. The record is from RNAcentral.
AUUCGCGGCCUAUCAGCUUGUUGGUGAGGUAGCGGCUCACCAAGGCAACGACGGGUAGCUGGUCUGAGAGGACGAUCAGCCACACUGGGACUGAGACACGGCCCAGACUCCUACGGGAGGCAGCAGCAGGGAAUAUUGCACAAUGGGCGAAAGCCUGAUGCAGCGACGCCGCGUGAGGGAUGAAGGCCUUCGGGUUGUAAACCUCUUUCAGGAGGGAAGAAGCGAAAGUGACGGUACCUCCACAGGAAGCCCCGGCCAACUACGUGCCAGCAGCCGCGGUAAUACGUAGGGGGCAAGCGUUGUCCGGAUUCAUUGGGCGUAAAGAGCUCGUAGGCGGCUCAGCAAGUCGGUCGUGAAAGCCCGGGGCUCAACCCCGGGACGCCGAUCGAAACUGCUGUGGCUAGGGUCCGGUAGAGGAGAGUGGAAUUCCCGGUGUAGCGGUGAAAUGCGCAGAUAUCGGGAGGAACACCAGUAGCGAAGGCGGCUCUCUGGGCCGGCACCGACGCUGAGGAGCGAAAGCUAGGGGAGCAAACAGGAUUAGAUACCCUGGUAGUCCUAGCCGUAAACGUUGGGCACUAGGUGUGGCGGACUCAUUGACGUCUGCCGUGCCGAAGCAAACGCAUUAAGUGCCCCGCCUGGGGAGUACGGAAU